UGAUCUUGUAAGUUAUACUAGUAAUAUAUUAUUUUUAAUAAUUAUAAAAAUAAUUAUUUAAAUCAAUAUAAUUUUUUAUUUUAUGGUAUAGAUAAAAUAUAAAUAUUUUAAUAAAGAAGAAGGUGCGAUCGAUGAGUUAUACGAUUUAGCAUGUGGUCCCGAUCGAAGGGUUAACCAUUAUGCAUCCUGUAUCAUUGGAGGAAUAAGAUUUCAUACAAAAGAGCUUGAGAUGCAACGACGGAUCCAGAAUAGUGAGAUUGGUACGAUAGGAUAUGAAAGAAAAGAAGAGAUUGAAUAUUAUAGU
RNAcentral lists this long non-coding RNA (304 nucleotides) under Elaeis guineensis (African oil palm). RNAcentral describes it as "long non-coding RNA (EGUI_LNC070930)". Lineage: Eukaryota; Viridiplantae; Streptophyta; Magnoliopsida; Arecales; Arecaceae. The record is from RNAcentral.